This 148-nucleotide unclassified non-coding RNA is filed under the name uncultured Fusidium. RNAcentral describes it as "sequence contains ITS1". The record is from RNAcentral. Lineage: Eukaryota; Fungi; Ascomycota; Sordariomycetes; Hypocreales; Nectriaceae.
UAGAGUUGUAAAACUCCCAAAACCCAUGUGAACAUACCUGUUGCCUCGGUGGCCUACCCUGUAGCUACCCUGUAGUUACCCUGUAGACCGCCGACGGACCACAAAACUCUGUUUUUUUAAUAUCUCUGAGUCAACUAUAAAUAAGUUA